Molecule: ribosomal RNA, 301 nt
Filed under: uncultured bacterium
Lineage: Bacteria
Description: partial 16S ribosomal RNA
Rfam family: Bacterial small subunit ribosomal RNA
Source: RNAcentral
CAGCGCCGCGGUAAUACAGAGGAUGCAAGCGUUAUCCGGAAUGAUUGGGCGUAAAGCGUCUGUAGGUGGCUUUUCAAGUCCGCCGUCAAAUCCCAGGGCUCAACCCUGGACAGGCGGUGGAAACUACCAAGCUAGAGUACGGUAGGGGCAGAGGGAAUUUCCGGUGGAGCGGUGAAAUGCGUUGAGAUCGAAAAGAACACCAACGACGAAAGCACUCUGCUGGGUCGACACUGACACUGAGAGACGAAAGCUAGGGGAGCAAAUGGGAUUAGAUACCCGUGUAGUCCCUGUCUCUUAUACA